This 431-nucleotide ribosomal RNA is filed under the name uncultured bacterium. Its description in RNAcentral is "partial 16S ribosomal RNA". It matches the Rfam family "Bacterial small subunit ribosomal RNA", at positions 29 to 507 of the family's 1533-position model. The record is from RNAcentral.
AACGAACGCUGGCGGCAGGCUUAACACAUGCAAGUCGAGCGCCCCGCCAGGGGAGCGGCCGACGGGUGAGUAACGCGUGGGAACGUACCUUUUGGUUCGGAACAACUCCGGGAAACUUGAGCUAAUACCGGAUAAGCCCUAACGGGGAAAGCUUUAUCGCCCAAAGAUCGGCCCGCGUCUGAUUAGCUAGUUGGUGAGGUAACGGCGCAACAAGGCGACGAUCAGUAGCUGGUCUGAGAGGAUAAUCAGCCACACUGGGACUGAGCCACGGCCCAGACUCUUGCAGGAGGCAGGAGUGGGGAAUAUUGGAAAAUCGGCGGAAGGAUGAUCCAGUCAUGGUGCGUGAGUGAUGAAGGCGUUAAGGAUGAACAGCACUUUUGUCCGGGAAGAUAAUGACGGUACCGGAAGAAUAAGCACCGGCUAACUUCGUG